This 254-nucleotide ribosomal RNA is filed under the name uncultured bacterium. RNAcentral's name for it is "partial 16S ribosomal RNA". It matches the Rfam family "Bacterial small subunit ribosomal RNA", at positions 524 to 776 of the family's 1533-position model. The record is from RNAcentral.
UACGGAGGAUCCAAGCGUUAUCCGGAAUUACUGGGCGUAAAGAGUUGCGUAGGUGGCAUAGUAAGUAGGUAGUGAAAGCGUUCGGCUCAACCGAAUAAACAUUAUCUAAACUGCUAAGCUAGAGGACGAGAGAGGUUAUUGGAAUUUCUAGUGUAGGAGUGAAAUCCGUAGAUAUUAGAAGGAACACCGAUGGCGUAGGCAGAUAACUGGCUCGUUUCUGACACUAAGGCACGAAAGCGUGGGUAGCAAACGGG